UGGGGAAUAUUGGACAAUGGGCGAAAGCCUGAUCCAGCCAUGCCGCGUGUGUGAAGAAGGUCUUUUGGUUGUAAAGCACUUUAAGUGGGGAGGAAAAGCUUAUGGUUAAUACCCAUAAGCCCUGACGUUACCCACAGAAUAAGCACCGGCUAACUCUGUGCCAGCAGCCGCGGUAAUACAGAGGGUGCAAGCGUUAAUCGGAAUUACUGGGCGUAAAGCGCGCGUAGGUGGUUAUUUAAGUCAGAUGUGAAAGCCCCGGGCUUAACCUGGGAACUGCAUCUGAUACUGGAUAACUAGAGUAGGUGAGAGGGGAGUAGAAUUCCAGGUGUAGCGGUGAAAUGCGUAGAGAUCUGGAGGAAUACCGAUGGCGAAGGUAGCUCCCUGGCAUCAUACUGACACUGAGGUGCGAAAGCGUGGGUAGCAAACAGGAUUAGAUACCCUGGUAGUCCACGCCGUAAACGAUGUCUACCAGUCGUUGGGUCUUUUAAAGACUUAGUGACGCAGUUAACGCAAUAAGUAGACCGCCUGGGGAGUACGGCCGCAAGGUUA
This 549-nucleotide ribosomal RNA is filed under the name uncultured bacterium. Its description in RNAcentral is "bacterial SSU rRNA". It matches the Rfam family "Bacterial small subunit ribosomal RNA", at positions 355 to 896 of the family's 1533-position model. The record is from RNAcentral.